AAAGUUGUUGCAGUUAAAAAGCUCGUAGUUGGAUCUCGGGUGCUAGCGUAUGGUUCGCUUUACUGCUGUAACUAUACGUCUAGUCCUAAUUAAUCGGUUGGCCGAUUAUGUCCUUUAUUGGGUGUUUUCGGUAGCCGGUACGUUUACUUUGAGAAAAUUAGAGUGCUUAAAGCAGGCCUUACGCCUGAAUAAUGUUGCAUGGAAUAAUAGAAUAGGACCUCGGUUCUAUUUUGUUGGUUUUGUAGAGCAUUGAGGUAAUGAUUAAUAGGGACAGACGGGGGCAUUCGUAUUGCGGUGUUAGAGGUGAAAUUCUUGGAUCGCCGCAAGACGAACAACUGCGAAAGCAUUUGCCAAGAAUGUUUUCAUUAAUCAAGAACGAAAGUUGGAGGUUCGAAGACGAUUAGAUACCGUCCUAGUUCCAACCAUAAACGAUGCCAACUAGCGAUUAGCUGCUGUUAUUUAAACGACACAGCUAGCAGCUUCCGGGAAACCAAAGUUUUUGGGUUCCGGGGGAAGUAUGGUUGCAAAGCUGAAACUUAAAGGAAUUGACGGAAGGGCACCACCAGGAGUGGAGCCUGCGGCUUAAUUUGACUCAACACGGGAAAUCUCACCCGGCCCGGACACUGUA
This 628-nucleotide ribosomal RNA is filed under the name uncultured eukaryote. Its description in RNAcentral is "SSU rRNA". It matches the Rfam family "Eukaryotic small subunit ribosomal RNA", at positions 606 to 1235 of the family's 1831-position model. The record is from RNAcentral.